GUGCCAGCAGCCGCGGUAAUACGGGGGGUGCAAGCGUUGUUCGGAAUUAUUGGGCGUAAAGAGCGUGUAGGCGGUUUGUUAAGUCUGAUGUGAAAGCCCUGGGCUCAACCCAGGAAGUGCAUCGGAAACUGGCAGACUUGAAUACGGGAGAGGGCAGUGGAAUUCCUAGUGUAGGAGUGAAAUCCGUAGAUAUUAGGAGGAACACCGGUGGCGAAGGCGGCUGCCUGGACCGAUAUUGACGCUGAGACGCGAAAGCGUGGGUAGCAAACAGGAUUAGAUACCCUGGUAGUCCACGCUGUAAACGAUGAGAACUAGGUGUUGCGGGUAUUGACCCCUGCAGUGCCGCAGCUAACGCAUUAAGUUCUCCGCCUGGGAAGUACGGUCGCAAGACUAAA
This 395-nucleotide ribosomal RNA is filed under the name uncultured bacterium. RNAcentral describes it as "bacterial SSU rRNA". It matches the Rfam family "Bacterial small subunit ribosomal RNA", at positions 505 to 898 of the family's 1533-position model. The record is from RNAcentral.